Molecule: ribosomal RNA, 500 nt
Filed under: uncultured bacterium
Lineage: Bacteria
Description: partial 16S ribosomal RNA
Rfam family: Bacterial small subunit ribosomal RNA
Source: RNAcentral
AUUGAACGCUGGCGGAAUGCUUUACACAUGCAAGUCGAACGGCAGCACGGACUUCGGUCUGGUGGCGAGUGGCGAACGGGUGAGUAAUGUAUCGGAACGUGCCCAGUCGUGGGGGAUAACGUAGUGAAAAUUACGCUAAUACCGCAUACGAUCUAUGGAUGAAAGCGGGGGAUCGCAAGACCUCGCGCGAUUGGAGCGGCCGAUAUCAGAUUAGGUAGUUGGUGGGGUAAAGGCCCACCAAGCCAACGAUCUGUAGCUGGUCUGAGAGGACGCCCAGCCACACUGGAACUGGAACACGGUCCAGACUCCUACGGGAGGCAGCAGUGGGGAAUUUAGGACGAUGGGCGAAAGCCUGAUCCAGCCAUGCCGCGUGCAGGAUGGAGGCCCUCGGGAUGUAAACUGCUUUUGUACAGAACGAAAAGGUUUCUACUAAUACUAGGAGCUCAUGACGGUACUGUAAGAAUAAGCACCGGCUAACUACGUGCCAGCCGCCGCCGUAA